GUGCUACUCCCUCCGUUCCGAAUUACUCGUCACAGAAAUGGAUGUAUGUAGAUCAUACAUCCAUUUCUGUGACGAGUAAUUCGGAACGGAGGGAGUACUUG
Molecule: non-coding RNA, 101 nt
Organism: Triticum urartu
Lineage: Eukaryota; Viridiplantae; Streptophyta; Magnoliopsida; Poales; Poaceae
Source: Rfam